Molecule: ribosomal RNA, 524 nt
Filed under: uncultured bacterium
Lineage: Bacteria
Description: partial 16S ribosomal RNA
Rfam family: Bacterial small subunit ribosomal RNA
Source: RNAcentral
GACGAACGCUGGCGGCGUGCCUAAUACAUGCAAGUCGAACGAAGCUGUUUUAACUGGUGCUUGCACCGACUUAAACAACUGAGUGGCGAACGGGUGAGUAACACGUGGGUAACCUGCCCCAAAGCGGGGGAUAACAUUUGGAAACAGAUGCUAAUACCGCAUAACCACGGAAACCACAUGGUUUCUGUGUCAAAGAUGGUUUCGGCUAUCACUUUGGGAUGGACCCGCGGCUUAUUAGCUAGUUGGUAAGGUAAUGGCUUACCAAGGCAAUGAGACGUAGCCGAACUGAGAGGUUGAUCGGCCACACUGGGACUGAGACACGGCCCAAACUCCUACGGGAGGCAGCAGUAGGGAAUCUUCCACAAUGGACGAAAGUCUGAUGGAGCAACGCCGCGUGAGUGAAGAAGGUUUUCGGAUCGUAAAGCUCUGUUGUCAGGGAAGAACGUGUGCGAGAGUAACUGUUCGUGCAGUGACGGUAUCUGGCCAGAAAGCCACGGCUAACUACGUGCCAGCCGCCGCGGUAA